This 429-nucleotide ribosomal RNA is filed under the name Verrucomicrobiota bacterium. RNAcentral describes it as "Verrucomicrobia bacterium partial 16S ribosomal RNA". It matches the Rfam family "Bacterial small subunit ribosomal RNA", at positions 355 to 776 of the family's 1533-position model. The record is from RNAcentral. Lineage: Bacteria; Pseudomonadati; Verrucomicrobiota.
UAGGGAAUCUUCCGCAAUGGACGAAAGUCUGACGGAGCAACGCCGCGUGAGUGAAGAAGGAUUUCGGUUCGUAAAACUCUGUUGUUAGGGAAGAAAAAAUGUAUAGUAACUAUAUACAAAAGAGACGGUACCUAACCAGAAAGCCACGGCUAACUACGUGCCAGCAGCCGCGGUAAUACGUAGGUGGCAAGCGUUGUCCGGAAUUAUUGGGCGUAAAGCGCGCGCAGGUGGUUUAGAAAGUCUGAUGUGAAAGCCCACGGCUCAACCGUGGAGGGUCAUUGGAAGCAAAUAAACUUGAGUGCAGGAGAGAAAAGUGGAAUUCCUAGUGUAGCGGUGAAAUGCGUAGAGAUUAGGAGGAACACCGGUGGCGAAAGCGGCUUUUUGGCCUGCAACUGACACUGAGGAGCGAAAGAGUGGGGAGCAAACAGG